UCUUCGGUCUUCGUUCUCCUUGCCAAGUCAGGAGUAGCUCUAGCCGUCUCUCUCUCUCUCUCUCUCUCGUUUUCUACUUGCCGCCGCCGUCCUUCAAGCCGCCACCCGCCGGCGGCUGCCCCUGAGGCAGCGACCGGACCAGUAGCCACCAGCACCAGCAGAGGGAGGAGCGCCCCCGGAGGCAGCAGGUGUUGCAGAUGUUCGGGCUGUACUGGUAAGGCGGCCACCCUCCUCCACCGCCACUACUGCCGUUCGUCUCAACUCGACCAAAGCACCUCUCCCUAGCGCCUCUGCCUAAGACAAGGAAGCGUUCUUGGUACAAGACGCAGACCCACGGGGGUUGGCAAAGACAGUCGUGUCGUGAGACGACGAGCAUGGGUGAGCUUAGUUUGAUUGUAACAUACUAAAUACAUACAAUAAGUUUCCCUAAAUGAAGAACGUCCUCUAUAAUACAAGAAUAAACUGUACUGUAAGUUAG
RNAcentral lists this ribosomal RNA (478 nucleotides) under Triticum aestivum (bread wheat). RNAcentral describes it as "partial small subunit ribosomal RNA". The record is from RNAcentral. Lineage: Eukaryota; Viridiplantae; Streptophyta; Magnoliopsida; Poales; Poaceae.